AUUGAACGCUGGCGGCAUGCCUUACACAUGCAAGUCGAACGGUAACAGGUCUUCGGAUGCUGACGAGUGGCGAACGGGUGAGUAUUACAUCGGAACGUGCCUAGUAGUGGGGGAUAACUACUCGAAAGAGUGGCUAAUACCGCAUGAGAUCUACGGAUGAAAGCAGGGGAUCGCAAGACCUUGUGCUACUAGAGCGGCCGAUGGCAGAUUAGGUAGUUGGUGGGAUAAAAGCUUACCAAGCCGACGAUCUGUAGCUGGUCUGAGAGGACGAUCAGCCGCAAUGGGACUGAGACACGGCCCAGACUCCUACGGGAGGCAGCAGUGGGGAAUUUUGGACAAUGGGCGCAAGCCUGAUCCAGCAAUGCCGCGUGCAGGAUGAAGGCCUUCGGGUUGUAAACUGCUUUUGUACGGAACGAAAAGCCCCGGGUUAAUACCCUGGGGUCAUGACGGUACCGUAAGAAUAAGCACCGGCUAACUACGUGCCAGCCGCCGCAGUAA
Molecule: ribosomal RNA, 498 nt
Filed under: uncultured bacterium
Lineage: Bacteria
Description: partial 16S ribosomal RNA
Rfam family: Bacterial small subunit ribosomal RNA
Source: RNAcentral